RNAcentral lists this ribosomal RNA (236 nucleotides) under uncultured Actinomycetales bacterium. RNAcentral's name for it is "partial 16S ribosomal RNA". It matches the Rfam family "Bacterial small subunit ribosomal RNA", at positions 97 to 334 of the family's 1533-position model. Lineage: Bacteria; Bacillati; Actinomycetota; Actinomycetes; Actinomycetales. The record is from RNAcentral.
GGCGAACGGGUGAGUAGCACGUGAGUAACCUGCCCUUGACUUUGGGAUAACUUCAGGAAACUGGGGCUAAUACCGGAUAGGAGCUCCUGCUGCAUGGUGGGGGUUGGAAAGUUUCGGCGGUUGGGGAUGGACUCGCGGCUUAUCAGCUUGUUGGUGGGGUAGUGGCUUACCAAGGCUUUGACGGGUAGCCGGCCUGAGAGGGUGACCGGCCACAUUGGGACUGAGAUACGGCCCAG